AAAUUCUGGAGAAAUUAUUCAAAGUAGUCCUAAACUGUUCAUCCUAUCCUGCCUUACCCUUCUCUCAGAAACCCCAACAAAGGCCAUGCCUUACAACUUACCUUGCUCCUGUUUCUGCCUCCUGACCACUCUGGUCUUCCCCAUGUUGCCAUGUAUGGCAUGCCUCCUGUCUCUAGGACCUAUGCAGCAAAAGAGAAAAACAAUGAAAGUCUGUAUUAGUAACCAGAAAAACGGUCAGAAGUCUGAGGUACCUGAGAGAAGACAGCAAAAUGAGAUCUGGAAUUUGAGGAGCACCUGUUAGGAGAAGAGCCAUCUCUACUGUAAGCACAAGCAACACAGAGGGAGUGGGGAUGUCAGGAGGGUAUCCCAAGGACAACAUACAGGAUUUUGUCAUAUUCUUCCUCCAAAGAUCACAGAAAACUUGUGAUCCAUAUCCACUAUUUUUUGUUCCAAGUCUCUGAUAAGCAAGUCAUCCAAUCCAUGUUAAAACAGGCUGGAUUCUUGCAUCAUAAGACGUUAAUUUAUAUUUUUACAAGAUCCUUUUAGCUGC
This 550-nucleotide long non-coding RNA is filed under the name Homo sapiens (human). Its description in RNAcentral is "non-protein coding NRG3-AS1:1". Lineage: Eukaryota; Metazoa; Chordata; Mammalia; Primates; Hominidae. The record is from RNAcentral.